Molecule: long non-coding RNA, 2646 nt
Filed under: Triticum aestivum (bread wheat)
Lineage: Eukaryota; Viridiplantae; Streptophyta; Magnoliopsida; Poales; Poaceae
Description: long non-coding RNA (TAES_LNC008868)
Source: RNAcentral
CAAGAUCAUGAUGAAGCAGUAAGAGAACAAUGUAUUCAUAGUCAUAACCAUCAAAAUCAGGUGGGGAUAGCAUGCAUCUUGCUUGUGUAGAGAGUGUUCAAUAAUAUACUGAAUAAAAUACUGAACAUUGAUAUAAUGAUUACAAAAAUCUUCCUGCUAUGGAGGUCAAGCUAGAUACAAACUCCUUUUCUGCAGUAUCUAAUGGAUUCUAUCCAUGGAUGGUACUCAAAGUGUGGACAACAGGACACCAGGCUCCCUAUUUUUUUUGUAACAAAGCAGAUAAGGGUAACCAAACUAAAGCAUGGCCACAACAUGAUACGCAAUGAACUUCUCUAUUUGACAGAUAACAUGCGAGCAUGAUUUUUACGCUGAGACGGAGCAGAUGAUUGUGGGAGCUUUGCAUCGGGAUGUCAACAACUUGGUGACCACUGAAGGCAGAGGCUAGCGGGAGAGCAAGCGGCAUGUGGCUGGAGGAAGAAGGAGCUACAACACAUGAGAGUAGGCGGAGGUGGCUCCAGUAGAGAUGUCACGAGCAGGGGUCGGCGGUCGUGAGAGACGAUGUUUGCAUAAUUCAACACGCCGCCACCACAACUUCUUCCCUGUGGUGCAAAAUUCAAAACAAUGAGAUCAAUCUUUUUAUAGAGGACAAAGCCAGAGCUAGAUGCACCACAGAUUAGAGAGAGGGAACAACAAAUUACAAAGGUGGUUAUGUAGUAAUAUGAUAAAAUAUGACAGUUUCAACCAGUGGGCAGUUCUUGUAUUAUUUAUUAGCUGGCUACUUUUUUCACCGCUUAUUGAUGUGAUGGUUAUCUCAGCUUACUCAUAAAUAACAGGGGUGUAAUUUCGUACAAAAAGGUGUUGGUAGGAUGACAAUCUCUUUGGAAUAUUUUGUUCAACUAAUGUUUUUUUAUUCUUCUCACUCAGGAUAAAGCGAUUGGACGAGGCGUGCCUUGAGAGUAUCAACAAUACAAUAGAACAUACAUCCAGUCGUGGAUUCUUCAGGGUUAGUCUUCCCAUACUUUUUUUCAUUUGAAUCUUUAUAAAAACCUACAUACUUGUUUAAAUUAAUUGGUUAUUUUACGUUUUAAUAACCUCUAGUUCAAGAAGCAAACUCUGACCAUGCCAAAUAAGCCGAAACGUAUCGCAUGCUAUUAGCUUUUCAUUCUGAACCGAAUCAAGAACAACAAGAAUGGCUACUCCUGCUCAUAUAUAAUAUAUUGAUGAAUCUGUAUUAGCAAGCGCCAAAAGAGAAGGUGCACUUUCGAAAAAAAGGUAGAUUUUUACUUGUGUGUGCACCCGUUUUAAUGGCGUGUCACAAUAUCACUGGUGCAUAGGAGGCAUGUGUGUUGUUCAUGCAGAAUGGCCAUGGUGCAUCUGAAACACAGGCUUCUCGAUGUCCAGCAUGUGCAUAAAUACAUGACUAUACCCGCUGCCAUUAAACUCAUCUAGGACCUCAUCCACCACAAAGAUUAGGAUUUUGUCCUUGACACAAAUACCAUGAAUCGUUUUUGCUUCUUGAUAACAUGGACCCAGGGAACUUCCAAUUGCAAUGGUGUUUGAUGCCGCAUAUAGCAUGUUGUCGCACUGAAGUUGAAUCUCAUCCUUCUAGACAGUUAACAGUGUGGUUCUCUAUAGAGUUUUAACAAACAAAAUAUCUUAUCUUUGGCUUAAGGCCCAGGCUAAGGGAUAUCUUGUCUCUAACUGACAACUAACUAACUUGAAUGAUACUAUUUCUAACUUCAAGAUAACAGAGAUUACAUCCCUUAAUUGGAGCCAACUAAGGCUUCCUUAUUCCCUGUGCUAGUGAGAACUACACCUUAUAGUUGGAACAGAGGGGGUAUUAAGCAUUGUUUUCUAGUUGUCUGUCUUCAGCAUGUCUACAUUGGUACUGCCUAAUAUGCUAAGAUAGGCUCUAUGGAAUUGGUUGGGAAAAACUUCGAACUCGCUGCACUUAAAAUUCCCUACUGCAGCAUAUUUUGUAUACUUAUACAUGGUUCUCAUGCUACUGCCACAUUUGAUGUGUCCAAGCAAUUUCAGGAUUAUUUAGACACUUACCCUUUCACAUGUGACCUUCUAACCUUAUAUAUUUUGCAUGUACAACCAUAUAUGUAAAUUACCCUACAUUAUUCAACCUCUUGUAUGUUAUAUGUAAGGUCCAUGUGAAUGGCAGAGUUGUGAACAAAGCUGGAACGCAAGUAUCUGACAAGUCAAUCAUAUAACUCAAGGUUGAAAUCCUGAAAUAUGUAUGUAGGUGAUGCUCUAAAUAAUUAGCUAUAUUUAGUUCCAUUCUCCUAUUUGAAAGUAAUAGUAACAUCAGGUUCACAAAGUUCACAAUCGUAUCGUUUCUUGUGGCCAAAUUCAGGGUUGGGCAUAAGCUUGAGGCAGCUGUCAAAGAAUUUGGAGUUGACUGUGAUGGAAAGAUAGCCCGUGAUCCAGCGCUGUCUACAGGUGGUUUUACCUAAUGCUUACUUCAGCAUGAGGAAAUUUAGAAAACUGUUCAAUUCAUGAACUCCAAUGGAUAAAUCUACCCAAAAAUUUCAGCACAUGGUUUCCAAUUCAAAAGAUCAAACACAGCAAACUGGUUGUUUAGCCCAGCACUAAAAAUCAAACUCACCUCUAUCAAAUCUCAGGCUAGCGUACUCCUUA